This 305-nucleotide ribosomal RNA is filed under the name uncultured bacterium. Its description in RNAcentral is "bacterial SSU rRNA". It matches the Rfam family "Bacterial small subunit ribosomal RNA", at positions 333 to 636 of the family's 1533-position model. The record is from RNAcentral.
UUAGUCCUACGGGACGCAGCAGUGAGGAAUAUUGGUCAAUGGGCGGGAGCCUGAACCAGCCAAGUCGCGUGAGGGAUGACGGUCCUACGGAUUGUAAACCUCUUUUGUCGGGGAGCAAAGCGAACCACGUGUGGUUCAUUGAGAGUACCCGAAGAAAAAGCAUUGGCUAACUCCGUGCCAGCAGCCGCGGUAAUACGGAGGAUGCGAGCGUUAUCCGGAUUUAUUGGGUUUAAAGGGUGCGCAGGCGGAGGUGCAAGUCAGCGGUCAAAUUGCGGGGCUCAACCCCGUACUGCCGUUGAAACUGC